Alosa alosa (allis shad) is the source of this 334-nucleotide long non-coding RNA. RefSeq lists it as uncharacterized. NCBI's taxonomy places the organism in Eukaryota, Metazoa, Chordata, Actinopteri, Clupeiformes, Clupeidae. The transcript has 3 exons. The record is from RefSeq and is a predicted model, not a curated record.
GGAGAUUGACCUGGGCUCACUCCUCCUAACGUUCAUCGUCGAAAGAUUCCAUAGGCUACUGUUUAAUCUCCAGAUCAUACUGGAAAGCGUUUUUCUGUCCCUCCCAAGUAAAGGCCCUCAAGAAGAACCCCCUUACCAGCACUACAAAUCAGAGGAGGCUGAACGGUCAUUAGGGAAAUGGUUUACUGGGGCAAGGGACAGGGGAGGGCUGAGGGCAGCCAGAGUGGCGAAGUGAUUUAAUUCAAUUCAAUUUAGGCAUUGCUGUUUGUAACCAGUUGUUGUUGUUGUUCUCUGUGUUGAUGUUGAUGUUCUCUGUGUUGUAAUUUAUUAAAUG